This 256-nucleotide ribosomal RNA is filed under the name uncultured bacterium. Its description in RNAcentral is "partial 16S ribosomal RNA". It matches the Rfam family "Bacterial small subunit ribosomal RNA", at positions 335 to 583 of the family's 1533-position model. The record is from RNAcentral.
AUGCCUACGGGAGGCAGCAGUGGGGAAUAUUGCACAAUGGGGGAAACCCUGAUGGAGCAACGCCGCGUGAGUGAAGAAGGGUUUCGGCUCGUAAAGCUCUGUUGGUAGUGAAGAAAGGUAGAGGUAGUAACUGGCCUUUAUUUGACGGUAAUUACUUAGAAAGUCACGGCUAACUACGUGCCAGCAGCCGCGGUAAUACGUAGGUGGCAAGCGUUGUCCGGAUUUAUUGGGCGUAAAGCGAGUGCAGGCGGGUUCA